Molecule: non-coding RNA, 61 nt
Organism: Pyrococcus abyssi GE5
Lineage: Archaea; Methanobacteriati; Methanobacteriota; Thermococci; Thermococcales; Thermococcaceae
Source: Rfam
GGCAAUGAGGAAUGAAUCCAAUGCUGAGCAAAGGCAAUGAUUGACCCCAGAGUGGCCGAGC